GCAGAGUUUUCUUCAUAUACUCUAUACAUGUCAUCGGCCGCAUAUACGCAUGAGGAUGUGAGUCAAUUUUCUUAUGUUUCGGAGGCAACUGUGCGCUUUGAGUAUGCGGUGGAACUGAUUGAUGAGGGACCUUCAUAUCAUGUUGACUAUACAGGUGAAGGAGUUGCACAUAGUUUUCAUUAUACGGAGGAGGAUGUGGAACCAAGUGAUCCAGAACCAACGCAUCGUCGAAAACAACCUAUACGGGCG
Molecule: long non-coding RNA, 249 nt
Filed under: Elaeis guineensis (African oil palm)
Lineage: Eukaryota; Viridiplantae; Streptophyta; Magnoliopsida; Arecales; Arecaceae
Description: long non-coding RNA (EGUI_LNC019525)
Source: RNAcentral